This is a long non-coding RNA of Scylla paramamosain (green mud crab), 1763 nucleotides long. RefSeq lists it as uncharacterized. The record is from RefSeq and is a predicted model, not a curated record. The transcript has 3 exons. Lineage: Eukaryota; Metazoa; Arthropoda; Malacostraca; Decapoda; Portunidae.
UCAAUGCCAAAUCCAAAAGUCCUUCAUCAGGAGGCACCGUCUCAGCCCUAACAGACUAGGGAAAACUAGACGUAAAAAAAAAAAAAAAAAAAAAAAAAAUCAGUGGCGGCUCCUCAAUAGGGACUGCGAGACUGCAGCCCCCCCCCCAAAUGGAUUUCUAGGAUUCACGAAAAUAAUGUUAAUUUAUUUAUGUUUGACUAUCAUUCACAUGAAAACACCAAUUGUCAUAUGUUUAUAUGAAAAAAAAAAUACUGCAAAACAAUGAGGAAGUACGGAAAUUAUUUACUAUUUAAUGAUACGAAAGCGGGGAGAAAUGGGGGGAGGCUUCCUGGGCGGAAUGGCGAGUGUGGACUGCAUCCAGCGCAGUCUUGUCUCAGCCGUUGUUGUGGUUAGGCACCCACACUGCCAUCAAGGGAAUUCUAGUCAGGACGGCCCCAAACCACGACGGCCCUCCGCGACGGCCCCCCAGGACGGCCCCAAAUUCUAGUCAGGACGGCCCUCAACCACAACGGCCCUCUACGACGGCCUCCCAGGAUGGCCCUUUGUUAGACAAACAAUGGGGAGCUUUCUAAGGGUAUGGCAGUCCUGCAAAUGCUGUGAGAGACAACAUCUGCAGCAUGCCCAACUCCACAGCAGUGCAUGUUGUCUCAUCUGGAGGUCCCCCACCUGCAUGGAUAUGAAUGUUGCAAUUAUCAGCCACUUAGAAGUUCACAUGUAAAACCAAAUCAACUUUGUGUUAAUCAUGAAUAUAUUAGAGCAUAUUGAUAUUAUUUAGCACUGCAGUGGUCACUGUCUGCCAGAGGUACUGUACAUGCUCCUAUUUAUAAUCCAUUGCUUAGUUGGUUCUUAGUUAUGUUUAUUGACUAUAUGGGUAAAUUUUGUAACAACUCCAAUAAUGAAAUACAACAUGUACACAAGAGCAAACUUCUUUUUAUAUAACUGCAGGGGUUUUAAGCACUGCUAACAAUCACCUAACCUAACUAACCUAAUCAUAACCUAACCCUCCUUCCUCAAAGUAAAACCAAUAUUCAAGAAAUAAAAUUUAUUACAGCAGUUUGGGUCUAAAAGGCUGAACAGAAAGAAACUUCUUUUUCUCCCAAUAUGCAACAAAAAGUCAUAUAGAGGAAUUUGUUCAUAUUACUCAAAACAAUGUCCAGCAAUGCCCAAAAACAUUAGUUAAUUAAAUUCCAUAAACAAUUAGGUCAAGACAAAAUAUUAAGCAAAUAUGCUAGUGUGGGUAAAUUUUUACUUUCAUCUGUUUAUCUUUUCCACUUGAAACUAUUUGCUUUUUGUUAUUUUUGGCCUACCCUGAAUUAGUAUGUUAAUCAAACCUGAUGUAACUUAACCAAAGUAAUCUUAACAUAACCAAAAUAAUAUAACCUAACCAAAGACAAACCUUAAAUAGCUAAAAUAACAUUGCUUCUCUAAAAAUCUGUACAUAUAAUUGUUUAACAAUUGCUGUCAUUAUUAUAAUUAAUUUGCAGUUGGUAUAUGUGGGGUUCAAAUUACUCUGGAAUGACAAAAUGUAUCUGAUGAGAAGGGUAAGAAAAGCCAUGUUGAGACUGGCGAAAGAGUAAAAGAAUACCCUACUAUGUGUCUCCUGGAACCAUAAGCCAUGAUUUUACUUACUUCCAGCAGGACAUCACACCAUUUUUUGGUAAUAUCACUGUAAUUCCAUCCAUAUACCUCUCUAUCCCUCUUCUGUGUCAACUGCACCAUGCUAAGCCUGCAACUGUGCUAACGAAAAUGUGAUAAGAAUAACC